GACGAACGCUGGCGGCGUGCUUAACACAUGCAAGUCGAACGGAAAGGCCCUGCUUUUGUGGGGUGCUCGAGUGGCGAACGGGUGAGUAACACGUGAGUAACCUGCCCUUGACUUUGGGAUAACUUCAGGAAACUGGGGCUAAUACCGGAUAGGAGCUCCUGCUGCAUGGUGGGGGUUGGAAAGUUUCGGCGGUUGGGGAUGGACUCGCGGCUUAUCCGCUUGUUGGUGGGGUAGUGGCUGACCAAGGCUUUGACGGGUAGCCGGCCUGAGAGGGUGACCGGCCACAUUGGGACUGAGAGACGGCCCAGACUCCUACGGGAGGCAGCAGUGGGGAAUAUUGCACAAUGGGCGGAAGCCAGAUGCAGCAACGCCGCGUGCGGGAUGACGGCCUUCGGGUUGUAAACCGCUUUCGCCUGUGAUGAAGAGUGAGUGACGGUAAUGGGUAAAGAAGCACCGGCUAACUACGUG
RNAcentral lists this ribosomal RNA (468 nucleotides) under uncultured bacterium. RNAcentral's name for it is "partial 16S ribosomal RNA". It matches the Rfam family "Bacterial small subunit ribosomal RNA", at positions 28 to 507 of the family's 1533-position model. The record is from RNAcentral.